This 424-nucleotide ribosomal RNA is filed under the name uncultured bacterium. Its description in RNAcentral is "bacterial SSU rRNA". It matches the Rfam family "Bacterial small subunit ribosomal RNA", at positions 355 to 776 of the family's 1533-position model. The record is from RNAcentral.
UAGGGAAUAUUGGGCAAUGGACGAGAGUCUGACCCAGCCAUGCCGCGUGCAGGAUGAAGGCCUUAUGGGUUGUAAACUGCUUUUGAUUGGGAACAAAAAAGCCAUGCGUGGUAAAUUGAGUGUACCAAUAGAAUAAGCACCGGCUAACUCCGUGCCAGCAGCCGCGGUAAUACGGAGGGUGCAAGCGUUGUCCGGAUUUAUUGGGUUUAAAGGGUGCGUAGGCGGUUUACUAAGUCAGUGGUGAAAGGCAGCAGCUUAACUGUUCGUACUGCCAUUGAUACUGGUAAACUUGAGUGCAGUAGAGGUAGGCGGAAUUUAUGGUGUAGCGGUGAAAUGCAUAGAUACCAUAAAGAACACCGAUUGCGAAGGCAGCUUACUAUGCUGUAACUGACGCUGAGGCACGAAAGUGUGGGGAUCAAACAGG